AUGUUCCUUUUGAAACUUUUAAAAAUUAUUAUGCCCUCCCUACAAUGGUUGUUGUUGUUGUUGAUGAUGAUGAUGUUAUAUUUUGAAACAACACAGGGUAUUUCAAUACAAUGUUGUUCCUUCACUCUGUUCCAUAGAGGAAUUACUGGUAGAGUCUUCCUUAUCCAAAAUACUUGGGACCAGAAGUUUUUUAGAUUUCAGAUUUUGGAUUAUCUGUAUUUGCAUAGAUAUUGUGAAUGAGGGUUAAGGGGGCAAAAGGAACUAGUGCCCAAAGUGUUUUUCCUCAAGGGUUGCCCAUCAACACAACUUUGCCCUUUUAGCACAAUAAUCAGGAAGAGAGGAGAAAUCCUAUCCCCACACUGCUGAAUCUCUCAUUCUCCCAGGGCAGGAUAUCAGUAGCAGGCAAUGGGGUUGCUCCAUGCUCACGGCCAUUUCCAGGGAACUUGCCCUGCUGUGCAUCACUAUGGACCAGGCUGAGCCAAGCACAGACGCAUCUGGGAUGUCUACUUUUUUACAGUAAGCAGAAUCCUCCCCUUUCCCUUCUUUUAUUUCCUCCAUCAGGGCUCCUUGAGGAAAAACCCAGCGGGCGCUGGACAUAUUGGUCCCUUUCUACAAAGGCAGAAGUGGGUGGCUGGCAGCAAAAAGUUUCAGUUUUGGAGUGUUUCGGAUUUCCAGAUAAGGACACUCAGCCUGUAGUAAUUUUUCUCUUUCAUUUGAAUCUAUUAGAAUUCCUGACCUCAAUUCAUCCCCGACUUUAAAAAUAUUGAAGUUUUCUCUCCCAUUUUUAAUGGUGUCUUUACUUUCCCCCUGUGCUUUUCGAGAGACAAGACACAUACAGCACUGAGAGCAAGGUCACCUUUUCUUUUCCAGACAGGACUAAUGAAUUCUGUCACUUUACUGCCGUCUCUCCUCUCAAAACAACUGGACAGUUUGCAGGCUUUUCGGAUGAGAAAUGAACGACCACAAAAGAAUGAACACGACACUGCCUCAUGAGGCCCACACUUCUUGGUGCCAAUUACUACUCUCAAGGUAACCAUAAACCUGUCUGGCCCAAAGGCUCCUUUCCUACGCUUAGUGAACACUAUGACAUUGAGAGACCCUUAGAAGGUGGAGGCCACAAAGGAUUCCUUUUUCAAUAAAGCCUUUUUGCCAGGCGUGGGAAACCUUUAGUCAUCCAGAUCUUUUGGCCUACAAUGGCCAAGAGACCCAGUUAACAUGGCCAAUGGUAAGGCAUUGUGAGAGUUGUACUCCAAAAUGCCUAAAGCACCAAAGACUCCCCACCGUUGCACUGUGUACCUCUAACAUCAAUCUUAGCUAGUUUGCCAUUCUGCCAAUGCCAAGCAGAAAGGGUUUCCCUGCAGAGAUGAAGCACCAUCUCUGCUGCACAAUUACAGUGGCAAAACUCAAGGUAGCCUUCAAUUUAGUACUUGGAAUUGAAGGUGAAUAAAUUUCUCUGAAGUGUGUCAUUCCUCCAGUCUUUUCAAUUUCUAAGACAAGCUGUUCCUAAGUAGCAUGGAUGUUCACUUUUUAUCCAAUCCUUCCUUGAGAAACACCGUACACUGAGAAACAAAU
Molecule: long non-coding RNA, 1572 nt
Filed under: Anolis carolinensis (green anole)
Lineage: Eukaryota; Metazoa; Chordata; Lepidosauria; Squamata; Anolidae
Description: lncRNA (ENSACAG00000037103.1)
Source: RNAcentral